GACGAACGCUGGCGGCGUGCCUAAUACAUGCAAGUCGAGCGGACGAAUCGAAAGCUUGCUUUUGAUUCGUUAGCGGCGGACGGGUGAGUAACACGUGGGCAACCUGCCCUGUAGACGGGGAUAACACCGAGAAAUCGGUGCUAAUACCGGAUAACACGAAAUGUCGCAUGACGUUUCGUUGAAAGACGGCGCAAGCUGUCGCUACAGGAUGGGCCCGCGGCGCAUUAGCUAGUUGGUGAGGUAACGGCCCACCAAGGCGACGAUGCGUAGCCGACCUGAGAGGGUGAUCGGCCACACUGGGACUGAGACACGGCCCAGACUCCUACGGGAGGCAGCAGUAAGGAAUCUUCCGCAAUGGACGAAAGUCUGACGGAGCAACGCCGCGUGAGCGAAGAAGGCCUUCGGGUCGUAAAGCUCUGUUGUUAGGGAAGAACAAGUAACGCAGUAACUGGCGUUACCGUGACGGUACCUAACGAGAAAGCCACGGCUAACUACGU
RNAcentral lists this ribosomal RNA (497 nucleotides) under uncultured bacterium. Its description in RNAcentral is "partial 16S ribosomal RNA". It matches the Rfam family "Bacterial small subunit ribosomal RNA", at positions 28 to 506 of the family's 1533-position model. The record is from RNAcentral.